Molecule: ribosomal RNA, 205 nt
Filed under: Bifidobacterium sp. 360
Lineage: Bacteria; Bacillati; Actinomycetota; Actinomycetes; Bifidobacteriales; Bifidobacteriaceae
Description: partial 16S ribosomal RNA
Rfam family: Bacterial small subunit ribosomal RNA
Source: RNAcentral
UGUGGGAAAGCUUUUGCGGCAUGGGAUGGGGUCGCGUCCUAUCAGCUUGUUGGCGGGGUAGACGGCCCACCAAGGCUUCGACGGGUAGCCGGCCUGAGAGGGUGACCGGCCACAUUGGGACUGAGAUACGGCCCAGACUCCUACGGGAGGCAGCAGUGGGGAAUAUUGCACAAUGGGCGCAAGCCUGAUGCAGCGACGCCGCGUG